UAGGGAAUCUUCGGCAAUGGACGAAAGUCUGACCGAGCAACGCCGCGUGAGUGAAGAAGGUUUUCGGAUCGUAAAACUCUGUUGUUAGAGAAGAACAAGGACGUUAGUAACUGAACGUCCCCUGACGGUAUCUAACCAGAAAGCCACGGCUAACUACGUGCCAGCAGCCGCGGUAAUACGUAGGUGGCAAGCGUUGUCCGGAUUUAUUGGGCGUAAAGCGAGCGCAGGCGGUUUCUUAAGUCUGAUGUGAAAGCCCCCGGCUCAACCGGGGAGGGUCAUUGGAAACUGGGAGACUUGAGUGCAGAAGAGGAGAGUGGAAUUCCAUGUGUAGCGGUGAAAUGCGUAGAUAUAUGGAGGAACACCGGUGGCGAAGGCGGCUCUCUGGUCUGUAACUGACGAUGAGGCUCGAAAGCGUGGGGAGCAAACAGG
RNAcentral lists this ribosomal RNA (429 nucleotides) under Gemmatimonadota bacterium. Its description in RNAcentral is "Gemmatimonadetes bacterium partial 16S ribosomal RNA". It matches the Rfam family "Bacterial small subunit ribosomal RNA", at positions 355 to 776 of the family's 1533-position model. Lineage: Bacteria; Pseudomonadati; Gemmatimonadota. The record is from RNAcentral.